ACCAAUCGAUACUAUUGGAUUCAGAUAUUCAAGUCUUUUAAAUAUUAUAUAAUUAUUUUGAAACAUUGUUUUACAUUACAAGAAGAAACUGUUAUUAAAACAACUUAAUAAUAUUGGCUUCACACGGGAAUGUUUAACAAUAUCAGCUUUAGAUAGUAACAUCACAAUUAAAAAAAUAUAAACACACUGAUCCCUAUAUUGUGAUAUUGAUUCUUUGUCCAUAUAAGGAUCAUUAUUAUGAAAUUUUUUUCUUAUUUAGCUAUUUGAUAUUAUGUAAUUAAUAAAAAGUACAAUUAUUAAUUGUACGACCCAUCAUACAAUACACACGCGCCUUUGACGCACGUAUGCACAAAAAGAUUUAAAUUUACACAUUAUACUAGAAUUUAUUAUAUGCAAAUAAUAGUACCUAAAAUGUACAUAUAUACAGGGUUUCUCAUCUCAUAUUAAUAUCUUGAUUUCCAUCCCUAUUACUAUUUGUAGCGAAAAAUGUUUUAGAUAAAAGUUGUGGUUUCGAGGGAGGCAUAUUCUAAUGUUAUGUCCUUUUGUAGAUGGGCGCGAAAAGGUUAUGUGAAGGUCAACUUGAUCUUUUUAAAUGAAAUAAUAUAUACUUUUUAAUACAUUGGUAGAUGCAACUAAACAUUCUCUAUAAAAGGGUAUUAACCCAUAUAUGUAUGUUGGAAAGUUAUUAGUUUACUGAAUGUUAUUAGUUUAUGUAUUUUUUUAACUUUUAUUUUGUAAAAGCUAUCGUAAGAAAGAUAAUGAAAACAAACACACAAGUACAUAUAUUAUUACUUAUUAGUGCCUUACAUCUUUCCUUGUUUUUUAUACGAUAGGUUUUAUAAAAGAAAAGUUAAAAUGCUUAUUAAACUAAUAGUUUUUAAACAUAUAUAAUUUUUUACAGAGAAUGUCGACCUGCGUCGAUUAAUGUAUUAAAAAAUAUAUGAUUCCAUUAAAAAACAAAGUUUUUGAUCUUCAUGCGCUCACCUACACAAAGCCUACUAACAUUAAAUAUACAUAUUAAAAUUUACCUGUCUUCUUUGAAACAAUUGAACUUUUAUUUGAAAGAUUUUUCGCUAUAGGUAGUAAUGUAUGAUAUAAAUUAAAAUGUUAAUGUCAAUGUCAAGUGGGCGUGAGGUACCUUAUAUAUAUAUGUAUGUAUGUAUAAACAAGAAUCAUCUUGAGAUGUAAAAGGCGCGUUCACCUAAGAACAAGAUUUGUGACCAUCACGAAAUAUCCCCUUCGAAAACAAAUAAAUUCUUUUUGAAACACCUUUUUGAAUAACGAAUACCUAGUUUAGGAGAUAAAAUUUCAAAUGGGACAACCUGUAUAUGUAUAUAUAUAGAUUUAUUUUAACUGAAAUCGAUAGAAUAUCUUGAGAUAUAGAAAUUAUCAAAAAAAUGUUCUUACAAAAAAUUUUUGGUAUAAACAAAGGGGACAUUAUAUUGCAUAAAUAAUUUUUUUGAUGGUGCAAUAAUGGGGGAAAUUUUUAAGUCAAAUUAAUUUUAUCAUUCGAUAGAAUACGAUGGCAUUUAUUGAUGCGAAUUCAAUGAUCUGCCGUUAAAGUCAUUUUAUACAUAUGGUAGAAGUAUUUGUAAAUUCCUAAGGAAUCAAUUGACAUCUACUAAGCUGCUCGAACCGGCUGGUUCCAACGUCCCAACAUGAUGAUGGUUCUUCAAAUUAUACAGCAUUAGCCUGAAAGUGGUUGGAACACAAUUUCAACAACAAAUAGAUCGAUUGCGAUGGAUCAGAUCUCAUUCCAUAAUCUCCAUGCGAACUUUUCUCGUGGGAUCACUUGAAGAAGAUAGUUUACAAAAUAAUCCGGAAAUGUCUAUAAAUUACAGAAAAAGAUUACAAUCGCUUGUAGGAAGAUGACAGAAUAAAUAUUGAAAUAUUUUUAAAAGGAAUCUUUAAAAAAAGAGUGGAUAGAUAUAAUUUUGAACAUUGGUGAAUACAUAUAAAGCAAAUUUUUAAUGAUUAUUGUUGCUGCUUUAAUUAGAUAUUGAUUGCACAUAUCUUCCAAGAAACAUAAAAUCAAGGAAGAUAAAGGAGCAUCACGGUAGAAAUAUUGCCUGUCAAUUCGAGAAUAGAAAGUUAAUAAGAAGAAAUUUAUGAUAUUAUGCUAAAUAAUCUCAUAUGGUGGGUCAUUGAUAUGAUCUCAAUAAAUGCCAUUGUAUCAUGAUUAAAAAAGUAUAGACUC
This is a long non-coding RNA of Bombus pascuorum, 2197 nucleotides long. RefSeq lists it as uncharacterized. Lineage: Eukaryota; Metazoa; Arthropoda; Insecta; Hymenoptera; Apidae. The transcript is spliced from 2 exons. The record is from RefSeq and is a predicted model, not a curated record.